Long non-coding RNA from Balaenoptera acutorostrata (minke whale), 1257 nucleotides. RefSeq lists it as uncharacterized. Lineage: Eukaryota; Metazoa; Chordata; Mammalia; Artiodactyla; Balaenopteridae. The transcript has 4 exons. The record is from RefSeq and is a predicted model, not a curated record.
CGCCCCUGCUCGCCAGCUCCGCCCCGGGCCCUCCUGACGACCUGCCACGAAACUUCCCCACCGGCGCAGCCGAGGGCUCCCGGGCCCCUGCUGCUCGCCCGGCGGCUGGGCACAGAACGCCCGCCUCCAGGGUCUCUGCCGGGCCGCCCGGGGACGCUCAGUGAGAGUCCUGGGGUGUCGGAGGGCAGGGUCGUCGGGGCGCGCGGGUCCAGGCUGCGGAGCGAUGCCCUGCGCUUGCUUCCUCCCAGAGCGCGUCCACGAGCCGCCGGGGACGAAGGCCUGAAUAUUAUUUUAGAGGCCGAGAGAAAGGCCUAGGAAGACUUAAGGGCAAGACACGGCACCUCUGCUAGUCAGCUGUGCAACUCAAGUAAUGGUCUGGGAGCCCUUUGCUACUAGUUCGCCAGAACAUAAGGAACUAUGCCACAAAGUAAAUCAGCACACAGCUUCCUCACUGAGGAAGUUUUGCGACAAAAAAAUGUCAGGCCUCAGCCAGGCCCCGGCUGCUGUGUCCAGAUACAAGCUCUCUGAUUCGACCACAGCCCUGCAGAUUCCGGACGAGGCCAAGGAGGAGGGGACUACAAGGAGUGAGUUGAGUUAAAAAUCAGAAGCCUUUCUGAAUUUAUCUGCAGCCCCAAGUUGUACACAAUUGUUGCUCCAAUUUCUUUCAAGUAAUUUCAGAGGAAAUAAGGUGUAGUACGGAUUCUGACCAGUACGGAUAUUGGAUCUAAGCUGUGUUUCACAUGUGUGCAGAAAGUAAUACACUCACAUAAAUACCCCAAUGUCCUGCAAGGUCUGGCUCAUUUGUCACCCCAUUCACAAAGCCUCCCCAGAUACUCAUGGCUGGAAGAAAUCUUGCCUUCCCCAGAACUCACUGUACCUGUUAAAUUCAUAUCAUUUCAAUUCGUAACUAUUUAUUGAGCGUUCAACUCGGGGCUAGGGAUUGGGCUAGAUGCUGAGGAUACAAAAUAAAGAAGACAUGAUCUCUUCCUCUUGUUUAUGGGCUGUUAAGUUACCACCACAAAGUGUGAAAAGUGCACUGAUACAGGUACUUGCCAGAAAGAAGGGUGACAUACAACAGAAAGCCAGCAACCUUACUGAAGCAGGCCGGAGAAAGCUUCACAGAGGCUGUGCCAGUUGAGUCUUGGAGGCUGAGUAGGAGUUCACCACGUGGACGUGAGGAAAGGGCAUUCUUGCCGAAGAAACAGCACAAGCAAAGACGUGACCACGUGAGGCUCAUGCAUUAGGGGACUGUUAGAG